GAUGAACGCUGGCGGCGUGCCUAAUACAUGCAAGUCGAGCGAACGGACGAGAAGCUUGCUUCUCUGAUGUUAGCGGCGGACGGGUGAGUAACACGUGGAUAACCUACCUAUAAGACUGGGAUAACUUCGGGAAACCGGAGCUAAUACCGGAUAAUAUUUUGAACCGCAUGGUUCAAAAGUGAAAGACGGUCUUGCUGUCACUUAUAGAUGGAUCCGCGCUGCAUUAGCUAGUUGGUAAGGUAACGGCUUACCAAGGCAACGAUGCAUAGCCGACCUGAGAGGGUGAUCGGCCACACUGGAACUGAGACACGGUCCAGACUCCUACGGGAGGCAGCAGUAGGGAAUCUUCCGCAAUGGGCGAAAGCCUGACGGAGCAACGCCGCGUGAGUGAUGAAGGUCUUCGGAUCGUAAAACUCUGUUAUUAGGGAAGAACAUAUGUGGAAGUAACUGUGCACAUCUUGACGGUACCUAAUCAGAAAGCCACGGCUAACUACGUG
This 497-nucleotide ribosomal RNA is filed under the name uncultured bacterium. RNAcentral describes it as "partial 16S ribosomal RNA". It matches the Rfam family "Bacterial small subunit ribosomal RNA", at positions 28 to 507 of the family's 1533-position model. The record is from RNAcentral.